GUUUUCUUGUAAGUAAAUAUGAAAUCUGGCCUGCCCACUGAAAUUUUAAAGGGCCGCAGUAUUUUGACUGUGCAAAGGUAGCAUAAUCAUUAGUCUUUUAAUUGAAGGCUGGUAUGAAUGGUUGGAUGAGGUGAAUUCUGUUUUAUGUUAAUUUGGUUGAAUUUAGAUUUUAAGUAAAAAGACUUAAAUAUAGUUAAGGGACGAGAAGACCCUAUAGAGUUUAAUAAAUGAAAUAAAUUAAUUAAGUUAAUUAAAAAUUUUUAAUUAUUAUUAAGUUUAUUUGAUUGGGGUGAUUAAAAGAUAAAAUAAACUCUUUUUUGAUUUUAAUAAUAUAAUUAAUUAUAUGAUCCAUAAUUAAUGAUUGAAAGAUUAAAUUACCUUAGGGAUAACAGCAUAAUUUUUUUUGAGAGUUCAUAUCGAAAAAAAAGAUUGUGACCUCGAUGUUGGAUUAAGAUUAGUUUUAGGUGUAGAUGUUUAAUAACUAGGUCUGUUCGACCUUUAAAAUCUUACA
This 511-nucleotide ribosomal RNA is filed under the name Acromantis sp. MN321. RNAcentral's name for it is "partial 16S ribosomal RNA". It matches the Rfam family "Bacterial large subunit ribosomal RNA", at positions 1825 to 2600 of the family's 2925-position model. Lineage: Eukaryota; Metazoa; Arthropoda; Insecta; Mantodea; Hymenopodidae. The record is from RNAcentral.